Molecule: long non-coding RNA, 1091 nt
Filed under: Anser brachyrhynchus (Pink-footed goose)
Lineage: Eukaryota; Metazoa; Chordata; Aves; Anseriformes; Anatidae
Description: lncRNA (ENSABRG00000004726.1)
Source: RNAcentral
UAAUGAAUUGUGAAUAGGCAAAGAUAUAGUAGGAUUAACAGUUGAGGAAUACCACAUGAGUAUAAAUGUGCUCUGGCUGGGUGUUUAGCAUUUUAAACAACUAAAACUAAAAAUAAAAAUAGACUGUUGUGAAAAUGGAAAAAGGGCUGCAUCAAAUUAAAGUGUUUCUGUAAGCAGUACAACCUGUUACAGCCAUACUACAACAGCCUGGUUUCAGCCAGGUCUGAAACUUGUUGGCUUGGAGUUCUAGAAGAGAAUGUAAGGGGGAAGGGGGAAGAAGAAACAACAGAUUUUUGAAAUACAUUCAAAGCAAGACUGAAGAAUUUAGAUAACUAGGUGCACAUAACUUACAGGCACACUACUGAACUGCUGAAACAAACUUUCCAAGCUAUUAAUAGUUAUUAUUGGGUUCAGAAAAGCAGCGAAAAGCCAACAUAUAUUUUGCAGCUUUCAGUCUUAGAAGUUUAUUUAAACUUAGAAGUUUUUGUUUGUUUGUUUGUUUGUUUUGCAAGGUUGGCAAUAUCAUAGAUCUAUUCACUUAGCUCUGGGGUUCUCAGGUGGCAGUCAUCACAAAGAUGAUCACAUAGAUAUUUAACUAGCAGAUUCAAGAAAGUGCUCUUUUCAUCCAUCUUUUUCAUCAACAUUUCAUCAAAGAACUUUCAGCUGUAACUCUGAGCUUACUGGACAUUCUGUGAGUGCGUCCAGCAAAGAAGAGUUUUAAAACUCCCAGUUUUCAGUGACCAGCUACCGAGAAGCAAUUCCUUUCUUUUCCAAGACAUGUCAGAUUUCUACAUUUACAAGCUCAAACAGUUGCCUUAUAGAUACUCCAGUACAUUUGCAUUUUUGAUUGAUAUCAGAUAUCAGGGAAGGUCAGGCCUAAUCAGUUCUUGGAUGGGCAAAGUCUGAUGGAGAGCAGGUUGUGGUGAUGCAGCAUAAGGGACUUGAUGCAGCAUAAAGGACUUAGCAAGAGCUGUUGCUGCAUAUCAGAGGUUGAAGAGAUUGAUGAAAAGACAACAACAAUACAAAACCCCUCUGUAUAUUCAAAAUGCGAUGAUGUUCCAUUCAUGGAAAAGCUCUCAACCUUAGUGUAG